GAUGAAGAACGCAGCAAAAUGCGAUAAGUAAUGUGAAUUGCAGAAUUCAGUGAAUCAUCGAAUCUUUGAACGCACAUUGCGCCCGCUGGUAUUCCGGCGGGCAUGCCUGUUCGAGCGUCAUUUCAACCCUCAAGCCCCCGGGUUUGGUGUUGGGGAUCGGCUCUGCCCUUCUGGGCGGUGCCGCCCCCGUAAUACAUUGGCGGUCUCGCUGCAGCCUCCAUUGCGUAGUAGCUAACACCUCGCAACUGGAACGCGGCGCGGCCAUGCCGUAAAACCCCAACUUCUGAAUGUUGACCUCGGAUCAGGUAGGAAUACCCGCUGAACUUAAGCAUAUCAAUAAGCGGAGGA
RNAcentral lists this unclassified non-coding RNA (348 nucleotides) under soil metagenome. RNAcentral describes it as "partial contains 5.8S ribosomal RNA, internal transcribed spacer 2, and large subunit ribosomal RNA". The stretch from base 1 to 120 matches the Rfam family "5.8S ribosomal RNA", at positions 35 to 154 of the family's 154-position model. The record is from RNAcentral.